AUACGUAGGGUGCGAGCGUUAAUCGGAAUUACUGGGCGUAAAGCGUGCGCAGGUGGUUUUGUAAGUCAGAUGUGAAAUCCCCGGGCUUAACCUGGGAACUGCGUUUGAAACUGCAAGGCUAGAGUGUGGCAGAGGGGGGUGGAAUUCCGCGUGUAGCAGUGAAAUGCGUAGAGAUGCGGAGGAACACCGAUGGCGAAGGCAGCCCCCUGGGUCAGCACUGACGCUCAGGCACGAAAGCAUGGGGAGCAAACAGGAUUAGAAACCCGGGUAGUCC
RNAcentral lists this ribosomal RNA (274 nucleotides) under uncultured bacterium. RNAcentral describes it as "partial 16S ribosomal RNA". It matches the Rfam family "Bacterial small subunit ribosomal RNA", at positions 523 to 796 of the family's 1533-position model. The record is from RNAcentral.